Passer domesticus (house sparrow) is the source of this 4726-nucleotide long non-coding RNA. RefSeq lists it as uncharacterized. NCBI's taxonomy places the organism in Eukaryota, Metazoa, Chordata, Aves, Passeriformes, Passeridae. The transcript is spliced from 3 exons. The record is from RefSeq and is a predicted model, not a curated record.
UCUGAGGGGACUUGGGCCCUUUUUCUUGGCCUUGAGAUUUUAGAAUUUCCUUUUUGUUUUAAGGUGAAUUCUCCCAGUUUGUGAGGGGAAUAUGUCUGAAUUUCAACCCUCAAAGAGGAUUUGGCCUCUUCUCCUGGGUUUUCUUGGAGUUUAAAGGACAAAGAAAUCUGGGCACCACAAGUCUGGCUGUGGGUUUUGCCACCGUUCGCUCCGGCGCCGAUUUCCCCGCGAAAUCCAAGGUCGCCUUUUCCAGGACGCGGAAGAGGAAAAACUCUCCUGGCUCCUCAUCCUCCCAAAAUUCCUUCCCCGCCUGGAGGCUGAGCUGGCUGUGGGAGAAGCUCCCAGCACUGAAGUUUUCCCUGGAUUUUGUGCUGGUCCUGGUAAGAUCCAAAGUUUCCAGGUAGAGCGGGGAGGAAAAAAAAUGGGAUUUAGGGAGCGCGAGAACGACUUCUCGGAGGGCUUUCCCUACUUUUCCAUGGAUCUUCCCUCUCCCCGCUUCACUUUCUGCGGAUUCCGCCCUCUUUUCUCUUCCUCCUUCUCCCCCCAGGUGGAUUCGAGAGGGUUUUGUUGGACAGAUCAGGUUUUGUGUGCGCUGGGGGAGGGGAGGGCAGCGCAUGAAUCCAAACGUUCAUUUUACAACCAGUCCAACCAGUCAGGGCAGAUCCAGGGCUGCCGGGAGGAGGGAGACGAGGGGGGAAGCUGCGCGCAGCCAGGUGCCAGGAAAGGUGGGGAGAAAAGGGAAAUCCCAUUAAAAUCCCCAAAAAUCCCAAUAGAAUCGAUAGGAACAAGCACGGAGUUGAAGGGGGCUCUUCCAAUAUUCCUGGAUUUCAGAAUAUUGGGAUUUAAGGGAGGAUCUCCCAGUUUUCGAGUAAAAGUGACGAUUCCAAAUCCGGGUUUGCUGCUGGCCCUGAAAAAAAAAAAGAGUAUUUGGAAAAUCUGAUCAAUCCCAAUAAAAUCAAUAGGAAAUGAUCAUGGAAUUGAAAGGGGUUCUUCUGAUACUUUUGGAUUUUGGCAUAUUUGGAUUUAAGGGAGGAUCUCCCAGUUUUUGACUAAAAGUGAGGAUUCCAAAUCCGGGUUUGCUGCUGGCUCUGAAAAUUAAAAGGAAUAUUGGGAAAAUCUGAUCAAUCCCAAUAAAAUCGAUAGGAACGAGCACGGAAUUGAAGGGGGUUCUUCUGAUAUUUUUGGAUUUUGGAAUAUUGAGAUUUAAGGGAGGAUCUCCCAGUUUUGGACUGAAAGCGAGGAUCCAAAACCCAAGCUUAGUGCUGGCUCUGGAAAAAAAAAGGGAUAAUUGGAAAAUCUGAUUAAAAUCCCAAUAAAAUCGAUAGGAACGAGCACGGAAUUGAAAAGGGUUUUUCCAAUGUUCCUAGAUUUCAGAAUAUUGAGAUUUAAGGGAGGAUCUCCCAGUUUUUGACUAAAAGCGAGGAUUCCAAAUCCGGGUUUGCUGCUGGCUCUGAAAAUUAAAAGGAAUAUUGGGGAAAUCUGAUCAAAAUCCCAAUAAAAUCGAUAGGAACGAGCACGGAAUUGAAGGGGGUUCUUCCAAUAUUCCUGGAUUUCAGAAUAUUGGGAUUUAAGGGAGGAUCUCCCAGUUUUGGACUGAAAGUGAGGAUACGAAACCCAAGUUUAGUGCUGGGUCUGGAAAAAAAGGAAUAUUAGGAAAAUCUGAUUAAAAUCCCAAUAAUAUCUCUAUUAAAUGAGCAUAAAUUGAAGGGGGUUCUUCCAAUAUUUUUGGAUUUUGGAAUAUUUGGAUUUAAGGGAGGAUCUCCCAGUUUUCGACCAAAAGCGAGGAUUCCAAAUCCGGGUUUGCUGCUGGCUCUGAAAAAAAAGGAAUAUUGGGAAAAUCUGAUCAAUCCCAAUAAAAUCAACAGGAAAUGAGCAUGGAAAUAAAAGGGCUUUUCCAAUAUUCCUGGAUUUCAGAAUACUGGGAUUUAAGGGAGGAUUUCCCAAUUUUGGGAGUAAAAGUCACGAUUGGAGUUUGCUGCUGCUCUGAAAAAAAAGGAAUAUUAUUAAAAUCGGAUUAAAAUUCAAUUAAAAUCCCAAUAAAAUUGAUAUAAAAGGAGCUUGGAAUUGAAGGGGGCUCUUCCAACAUUUGGAAUAUUUUGGAAUAUUGGGAUUUAAGGGAGGAUUUCCCAGAUUUUGCCAAAAGUGAGGAUUCCAAAUCCGGGUUUGCUGCUGGCUCUGAAAAAAAUGGAAUAUUGUUAAAACUGGAUUAAAAUUCAAUUAAAAUCCCAAUAAAAUUGAUAUGAAAUGAGCCUGGAAUUGAAGGGGGCUCUUCCAACAUUUGGAAUAUUUUGGAAUAUUGGGAUUUAAGGGAGGAUUUCCCAGAUUUUGCCAAAAGUGAGGAUUCCAAAUCCGGGUUUGCUGCUGGCUCUGAAAAAAAUGGAAUAUUGUUAAAACUGGAUUAAAAUUCAAUUAAAAUCCCAAUAAAAUUGAUAUGAAAUGAGCCUGGAAUUGAAGGGGGCUCUUCCAACAUUUGGAAUAUUUUGGAAUAUUGGGAUUUAAGGGAGGAUUUCCCAGAUUUUGCCAAAAGUGAGGAUUCCAAAUCCGGGUUUGCUGCUGGCUCUGGUAACGAUUGCCACGUUUUAAUGACUUCGUUAAUUACCCAGCAUUUUAACGAGCUCUCCUCGCCCUCCACAACCCCCCAGCCUCAAAUCUUUCCUCCUCCCCGACCCGAAUUCCUGGGAUCGGGAAUUUUCCGAGCAGGAGAAGAAAAUCUGGGAAUUCUGUUGGGAUCCGAGCGGGCGCGGAGAAAAAUCCGGGCGGGAGGAGCAGGAGCCAUUUUGGGUCGGUUUUGUUGGUUCUUUCUCACCUCGGGCUUUUUGGGUUCUUUUUGGUGCUGAAAAACCCAAAUAUUCCAAUUUUGGCUUUAUCCCGGUGCCGGCUCCAACCGGGACCGGCUUUUCCUGGGUUCUCCUGGAUUUUGGAGAAAUUUCUUGGUGUUUUUUGGAGAAAUUUCCUGGUUUUCUCCUGAAUUUUGGACAAGUUUCCUCAUUUUCCCCUGGAUUUUUGAGAAAUUUCCUGGCGUUCUCCUGGAUUUUGGAGAAAUUUCCUCAUUUUCUCCUGAAUUUUGAACAAAUUUCCUCAUUUUCUCCUGAAUUAUGGAGAAAUUUCCUCAUUUUCUCCUGAAUUUUGGAGAAAUUUCCUGGUGUUUUUUUGGAGAAAUUUCCUGGUUUUCUCCUGGAUUUUGGAGGAAUUUCCUGGUUUUUCUCCCGAAUAUUUGGAGGAAUUUCCUGUGUUCUCCUGGAUUUUGGAGAGUUGGGUUCCAAAGGGAGAAAGAAGAAGUUAAAUAAAAGUGGUUUUAUUUCAUUUUUGGAGGGUGAGGUCAGGCCCUGGGUUCUUCCUCUAAAUCCCAUUUUUGGGGUUACAAUCCCAUUUAAAAAUCCCUUUUUUUUUAAAUUUCAAAAUCCCAUUUUUGGGGUUACAAUCCCCUUUCAAAAUCCCAUUUUUUUUAAAUUUAAAAAUCCAAUUUUUUGAGAUAAAAUCCCAUUUCCAAAUCCAAUUUCUUUGGGUUCGAAUUCCAUUCCAAAAUCCCAUUUUUGGGUCAGAAUUCCAUUGGAAAUGGGGGUGAAAAUCCGGGAGAGGGAUUUUGUUACCCAGGAGCAGGGAAUGCUCUGGGAAUUUCAAUCUGGGUGAGUUUCCCAUUUUCCUUCUGGUUUUCCUCAUUUCCCCCUUUUUUUCCUGCCACUUUUCCAAGAUCUAUUCUAAAACUAAAAAUAUUCCAUUUUUUCCCCUUUUUUGCCCAACCUAUCCAUAAAAAUGGGAAUUUUGGAUUUUUUUGGGAGUUUUGGGUAGUUUUUAUCCUGAUUUUUGCCAGGUUUUCCUUGUUAUUUUGAGGGUUUUGGGGAUUUUUUUGUUGUUUUUUUUGUUUGUUUUAGGUUAUUUUAGGAGUUUUUUGUUGCUCCUUUGGAGCUUUUUGCUGUUUCUUGAGUUUUUGGGGAGUUUUCCUCAUUAUUUUUGGGUUUUUGAGCAGUUUUUUGUUGUUAUUUCUGGGGUUUUUGGUGCUUUUUGGUUGGCGUUGAAUUUUUGGGAAUUUUUGAGUUUUUUUAAGUUUUGGUGGGGUUUGCUCUGAGCUCAGAUCAGGAUUUAAGCUGGGCUUUACUCCAGGCAGGACGAGGCCUCGGUGAAACACUGGGAUGGGUUCUGGGAAACUGGGCUUAAACUGGGUUUUAAAUUGGUUUUAAAUUGGUUUUAAAGUGGGUUUUAAACUGGGUUUUAACUGGUUUUAAACUGGGUUUUAAAUUGGUUUUAAACUGGGUUUUAACUUGGGCUUAAACUGGGUUUUAACUGGUUUUAAACUGGUUUUAAAUUGAGUUUUAACUGGUUUUUAACCCAUUUUGGUUCUGGAUGAUUUUGAACUGGUUUUGAACUGGGUUCUUACUGGGAUUUUACUGUUUUUUUUAAAUUGGGUUUUUACUGGUUUUAACUGGGAUUUUACUGGUUUUUGCUGGGAUUUAACUGGUUUUUAACUGGUUUUUAACUGGUUUUUAACUGGUUUUUAACUAAUUUUUACUUAUUUUAACUGGUUUUGCUGGGCUUUAACUGGUUUGAACUGGUUCUGAUGGUUUUGUUACUCUCCUCCGAGCUGUCCUGGUGUAAAAUUCCACUUUUCCCCUGGGAUCAGAUUUUUCCUGUUCGACCUCCCAAUUAAAACUUUCAUUUUUCCCCCAAAAAUCCCUUUUUUUUUUUUCAAUUUUUCCUUUGAAAAUCCCAAUUUGAAACCCCAACCCAA